RNAcentral lists this ribosomal RNA (916 nucleotides) under uncultured bacterium. RNAcentral describes it as "bacterial SSU rRNA". It matches the Rfam family "Bacterial small subunit ribosomal RNA", at positions 246 to 1155 of the family's 1533-position model. The record is from RNAcentral.
UUGUUGGUAAGGUAAAAGCUUACCAAGGCUUCGAUCAGUAGCUGGUCUGAGAGGACGACCAGCCACACUGGGACUGAGACACGGCCCAGACUCCUACGGGAGGCAGCAGUGGGGAAUUUUGGACAAUGGGGGCAACCCUGAUCCAGCCAUGCCGCGUGAGUGAAGAAGGCCUUCGGGUUGUAAAGCUCUUUCAGCCGGAACGAAACGGUUACGGAUAACACCCGUGACUACUGACGGUACCGGAAGAAGAAGCACCGGCUAACUACGUGCCGGCAGCCGCGGUAAUACGUAGGGUGCGAGCGUUAAUCGGAAUUACUGGGCGUAAAGCGUGCGCAGGUGGUUUCGUAAGUCAGAUGUGAAAGCCCCGGGCUCAACCUGGGAACUGCGUUUGAAACUACAAGACUAGAGUGUGGCAGAGGGGGGUGGAAUUCCGCGUGUAGCAGUGAAAUGCGUAGAGAUGUGGAGGAACACCGAUGGCGAAGGCAGCCCCCUGGGUCAACACUGGCGCUCAGGCACGAAAGCAUGGGGAGCAAACAGGAUUAGAUACCCUGGUAGUCCAUGCCCUAAACGAUGUCAACUAGUUGUCGGGCCUUUACGGGCUUGGUAACGUAGCUAACGCGUGAAGUUGACCGCCUGGGGAGUACGAUCGCAAGAUUAAAACUCAAAUGAAUUGACGGGGACCCGCACAAGCGGUGGAUUAUGUGGAUUAAUUCGAUGCAACGCGAAAAACCUUACCUACCCUUGACAUGUAUCGAAGCCCGCAGAAAAGCGGGGGUGCCCGAAAGGGAACGAUAACACAGGUGCUGCAUGGCUGUCGUCAGCUCGUGUCGUGAGAUGUUGGGUUAAGUCCCGCAACGAGCGCAACCCUUGUCAUUAAUUGCCAUCAUUUAGUUGGGCACUUUAAUGAGACUGCCGG